ACUGCUCCCGGAGCCAUGAACGGAGAUGACAGCUCUGCAAAGAAACCCGGUGAUGAUGAGCAAAUAUCAGAGAAUAAACGCAAGGCCUUUGAUGAUAUUGCCCAAUACUUCUCUAAGAAAGAGUGGGAAAAGCUGAAAUACUCGGAGAAAAUCACCUAUGUGUACAUGAAGAGGAACUAUGAGGCCAUGAGUAGACUAGGUUUCCAGGUCACCCUCCCACUUUUCAUGCGUAAUAAACAGGCCGAAGACUCCCAGGAGGAUGAUUCUGAUAGAGACUCUAACCCCGGGAAUCUGGUUGAACGUCGUACGAUGACUUUUGGCAUGUUCCAGGGACUCUUCCCGCAGCUCGUGCCCAGGGAGCCACCAGAGGAAGAAAAUUAUUCGGAGGCAGUGCCAGAAACAUCUGGCACACAAAAUGAUGUGAAACCGCUGUGCUACCCACAGUGCACCCCGAUGUACUCCUCCGGAAAGCCAAGUACCUCUGAGAAGAUUAACAAGAUAACUGGACAUAGGGAGGCCCGAGAAAAGGAAGAGAGAGACGGUGAACAGCUCAUCGGUGGAGCAGUCAGAACACACACAACAUUGAUCGAUUAAGUUUGUCAUCUUUUAUGGGUGCAGUUCCUGGUACCCCCAAAACAAUUACACACAACAGGGACCCAAAAGGGCGAAACAUGCCUGGUCCCAUAGACUGCGUGAGAGAAAGAAUCUGGUGAUCUAUGAAGAGAUCAGCGACCCUGAGGAAGAUGACGAAUAACUCUCCUCAGGGAUAUGACACAUGCCCAUGAUGAGAAGCAGAACUUGGUGACCUUUCACAAACAUGGGCAUGGCUGCAAACACCUCGUCAUCAGGUGUAUAGCAAGUG
RNA transcript from Cebus imitator (Panamanian white-faced capuchin), 862 nucleotides. It is a transcript of the gene named putative protein SSX6, with no coding region annotated. Lineage: Eukaryota; Metazoa; Chordata; Mammalia; Primates; Cebidae. The record is from RefSeq and is a predicted model, not a curated record. The transcript is spliced from 8 exons.